This 73-nucleotide transfer RNA is filed under the name Felis catus (domestic cat). It matches the Rfam family "tRNA". Rfam says of the family: Transfer RNA (tRNA) molecules are approximately 80 nucleotides in length. Their secondary structure includes four short double-helical elements and three loops (D, anti-codon, and T loops). The record is from Rfam by way of RNAcentral. Lineage: Eukaryota; Metazoa; Chordata; Mammalia; Carnivora; Felidae.
ACCUGGCUGGCUCAGCUGGUAGAGCACGAGGUUCUUGAUCUUGGGGUCAUGAAUGCAAGGCCCAUGUUGGGUG